RNAcentral lists this ribosomal RNA (253 nucleotides) under uncultured bacterium. RNAcentral's name for it is "partial 16S ribosomal RNA". It matches the Rfam family "Bacterial small subunit ribosomal RNA", at positions 524 to 776 of the family's 1533-position model. The record is from RNAcentral.
UACGGAGGGUGCAAGCGUUACCCGGAUUCACUGGGUUUAAAGGGUGCGUAGGCGGGUUGGUAAGUCAGUGGUGAAAUCUUCAAGCUUAACUUGGAAACUGCCGUUGAUACUAUCAAUCUUGAAUAUUGUGGAGGUAAGCGGAAUAUGUCAUGUAGCGGUGAAAUGCUUAGAUAUGACAUAGAACACCGAUAGCGAAGGCAGCUUGCUACACAGUAAUUGACGCUGAGGCACGAAAGCGUGGGGAUCAAACAGG